UAUUUGAGUUUUAAUCCCAUUAAAAUCAGCCUUUUCUUGAUCGGAAGACUUGGGAUUUUCUUUAAGCCAUUCCAAAACACCCUCGUAAUUCGUCAGUUUCCCACAAUACCCCUCCUUUCUUCCACGUAUCUUUUCAUUCGCUUUGAGUCACACCAGAAGCUUACCGUGGACCUCCCUCUGAAACUCCAAUCUCUCACACAAUUUCACUCUAUUUCUCUCUCUAUAAAUACCACUAUAUCGAGAUAUAUAUAUAUAUAUAUAUAUAUAUUAUACAGGAGAGUAGAUGGAGAGAGUGAGGAGGAUGAAGUCCGACCCUCAUCCAACACCCCCAUUAACUCCGGUGUCACCUUCCUCGACACCUACGACGUCCACAGUCCUUUCAUCAACGAAUUCCUCAUCGCCAACCUUUUCCAACGACAAGAUUCAAAUUCUCGGUGAUCCGGUGUAUCCCCGUCCGGACCACCAGCGAGGCCCGCUUGAAGCGGCUCGACACUAGCAUCCCUAUCGAAGAUCACGGUGGAUUUUUCUAAAGAUGCAAUGACAAUUGAAGCAGUUAGAUUGGAUCAAAAUUCUUCCGAGCAUUUGUUCCUUCCGGAAUUCUUGUCAAUUGUUCUCCAAGGGGGAUUCUUAAGAGGAAUCCACGACGAUGCAGAGGGCUCUGCAACUGUCUAAACUGUGCUUCGUUUUGUCUCCAUGUUGACAGAGCAUUUGAGUUCUCCAGAAAUCAAAUGCAAGAUACUGAAGAGGUAGUUUUGGAGUUGAUUAAGGAAUUAUCAUACCUUCGGAAUAUUUUGGAGAAAUCUGAUAUUGAUGGCAAUGAUCAUGUUAUACAUGUCAAUCAGGUGACUAAUGAAUGAACUGAAUAUGCAUUUUUUAGUAUUUAUUGCUCUAGAUGUUUCAUUUUAAUAAUGUAAUUGUUACUAUUGCUUGUUCACCCUCUGCAAACUCAAUUUGAUAUUUAUGUACAUCUAUUGCUUUA
This is a long non-coding RNA of Cornus florida, 979 nucleotides long. RefSeq lists it as uncharacterized. The record is from RefSeq and is a predicted model, not a curated record. The transcript has 3 exons. Lineage: Eukaryota; Viridiplantae; Streptophyta; Magnoliopsida; Cornales; Cornaceae.